CCUACGGGAGGCAGCAGUGAGGAAUAUUGGUCAAUGGGCGGAAGCCUGAACCAGCCAAGUAGCGUGAAGGAUGACGGCCCUACGGGUUGUAAACUUCUUUUAUACGGGAAUAACGCGCCUUACGUGUAGGGCUUUGCAUGUACCGUAUGAAUAAGGAACGGGUAAAUCCGUUCCCGCAGCCGCGGUAAUACGGAAGGUCCGGGCGUUAUCCGGAUUUAUUGGGUUUAAAGGGAGCCUAGGGCGCAUGUCAAACGUGCUGUGAAAUGUCCGGGCUCAACCCGGGCCUUGCAGCUCGAACUGGCGUGCUUGAGUCCGCGUGAAGCAGGCGGAAUUCGUCGUGUAGCGGUGAAAUGCUUAGAUAUGACGCAGAACCCCGAUUGCGAAGGCAGCUUGCUGCAGCCGAACUGACGCUGAUGCUCGAAAGCGCGGGUAUCGAACAGGAUUAGAUACCCCAGUAGUC
Molecule: ribosomal RNA, 460 nt
Filed under: uncultured bacterium
Lineage: Bacteria
Description: partial 16S ribosomal RNA
Rfam family: Bacterial small subunit ribosomal RNA
Source: RNAcentral